This is a non-coding RNA of Microcebus murinus (gray mouse lemur), 309 nucleotides long. The record is from RefSeq and is a predicted model, not a curated record. Lineage: Eukaryota; Metazoa; Chordata; Mammalia; Primates; Cheirogaleidae.
GACAUACAGUUUAAGAUCCACUGGGACGGAGAACCCAUUCUGAAAUGGAGCAAAAACUAGAUCCAGUUAUCAGUUCUGCACAAAUUACUUCAUUUGGAACUCUCCAGCACAAAUGCGGCCAGGCAGGAAAUGAGUGAGCAAAGGGAUUGGAACUAUCGGGAAUGGGCAAAUCACUCAACAAAAAUGUCAUUUUUAAAAUAAGCUUUCACCUGGUGAUGCAAUGAAACCUGAAUCCACAAGGGAACAUGAGGAUUUGGGCAGAUGAAGGAUAUUACUGUCUGGAAGCUCAGGGAAAUACCAUAGCAAGGA